Molecule: ribosomal RNA, 624 nt
Filed under: Thelephora sp.
Lineage: Eukaryota; Fungi; Basidiomycota; Agaricomycetes; Thelephorales; Thelephoraceae
Description: eukaryotic LSU rRNA
Rfam family: 5.8S ribosomal RNA (bases 212-366)
Source: RNAcentral
GGAAGGAUCAUUACUGAAUUGUCAAACGGGUUGUUGCUGGCCCUCAUAGGGGGCAUGUGCACGCUCUGUUUACACAUCCACUCACACCUGUGCACCCUCUGUAGUUCUAUGGUCUGGGGGACCCUGUCUUCCUUCUGUGGUUCUACUUCUUUACACACACACUGUAAUAAAGUUUUAUGGAAUGUACAUCGCGUCUAACGCAAUACAAUACAACUUUCAGCAACGGAUCUCUUGGCUCUCGCAUCGAUGAAGAACGCAGCGAAAUGCGAUAAGUAAUGUGAAUUGCAGAAUUCAGUGAAUCAUCGAAUCUUUGAACGCACCUUGCGCCCCUUGGCUAUUCCGAGGGGCAUGCCUGUUUGAGUAUCAUGAACACAUCAACUCUCAUGGUUUGCCAUGAUGAGUUGGACUCUGGGGGUUUUGCUGGCCUGUGGUCGGCUCCUCUUAAAUUAAUCAGCCUCCCAGUGUUUGGUGGCAUCACGGGUGUGAUAAAUAUCUACGCUCGCUGUUGUCUGCCAGGUAACCUUUGGUAACAAAGGUUUGCUGGAGCUCACAGAUGUCUCUCCUCAGCGAGGACAACUUUUUUAACGUUCGAUCUCAAAUCAGGUAGGACUACCCGCUGAACUU